RNAcentral lists this long non-coding RNA (845 nucleotides) under Mytilus galloprovincialis (Mediterranean mussel). The record is from RNAcentral. Lineage: Eukaryota; Metazoa; Mollusca; Bivalvia; Mytilida; Mytilidae.
GGUGGUGUCACGUGAUACUGAAGUAUAUUAUCGUGGACUUAGCAUAUUAAUAUUCUUUUUAGAGGGGACGUAGGACAGACAACAUGUGUAUAUAUUGACGGAGCGGCGUAUUAACUGUUCAAUUUAUUCUUCAAUAGCUCGCGUAUCAUACAAUACAUGUAACUUAUCGUGUACAAUUUAAUUACAUGUUUAUCGAUUGAUUUCAGCUAAUGUGUAUAUUUUAGCAGGUGUGUCAUUCACGGAUAUGUACUUUAACGCAAGUGCAGAAAUGUCAGGGCACCACUGGCAACAUUCACACAAAGUUUCAUAAGGCUGGCUCUUAUAACAAAAGAUUUAAAAUUUUGAAAUUUUUUCACAUUUUUGCAGUUUCCAUGGUAACGGCAGCCAUUUUUUACCAGUCUUAUGUCUCUUGCACAUCUUAACAUGGCAGUUCAUAUUAUGGUAUUGUUCCAUCGACAUGGGUCUGGCCGAUUCCGAGAAAUAGCGUGGACAAAAUGUGUGGAAGAAUAAAAAUAAUAAUAAAAAGAAAAAAAAGAAACGUAGAAUAACAAUAUGUCACCCCAACUCCGUUGAGGGUGCCAUAACUAGAUUUGUAAUUGCUAGCAAUAACGGAUGGCACCCUUCCCCUAUUGCCAGGUGAGCGGCGGCCAUUUAGAAAAUUCCAAACUCAAAAGUCAAGUCUACAUAAGCUAGGCAACAUUUGUUAUAAGUUUCCUUAAAUUUGAAGCAUUUUGAAGUUUUUCAUAUUUUUGCUGUUUCCAUGGUAACGGCGGCCAUUUUGAAUAUUCCAAAGUCAAACCCCUGCUGCAAUUUUUUGCCCUCCAUAAUAUCAUAUACCAUUUAAU